Molecule: ribosomal RNA, 250 nt
Filed under: uncultured bacterium
Lineage: Bacteria
Description: partial 16S ribosomal RNA
Rfam family: Bacterial small subunit ribosomal RNA
Source: RNAcentral
UAGAUACCCUGGUAGUCCACGCCGUAAACGAUGGAUACUAGCUGUUGGAGGUAUCGACCCCUUCAGUAGCGAAGCUAACGCGUUAAGUAUCCCGCCUGUGUAGUACGAUCGCAAGAUUAAAACAUAAAGGAAUUGACGGGGACCCGCACAAGCGGUGGAGCGUGUUCUUUAAUUCGAUGAUAAACGAAGAACCUUACCCAGGCUUGACAUCCCUUGAAUUUUGUCGAAAGACGAAAGUGCUUUUAGAACA